GCGAAUGAAGCGUACACGGUGGAUGCCUAGGCAGUCAGAAGCGAUGAAGGACGUGCUAAUCUGCGAAAAGCGUCGGUAAGCUGAUAUAAAGCAUACUAGCCGGCGAUGUCCCAAUGGAGAAACCCAGUGCAUUAAUGCACUAUCGUUUGAUAAAUUCAUAGUCAAACGAAGCAAACCGGGGGAACUGAAACAUCUCAGUACCCCGAGGAAAAGAAAUCAACCGAGAUUCCCCCAGUAGCGGCGAGAAAACAGGGAGCAGCCCAAAGUCAACAUCAAUAUUUAUUGCAGGAAAAAAGUCUGGAAAGACCGGAAAUAAAAAGUGAUAGCCCCGUAUCUGAAACAGUAAGUGUUGUUAACUUGAAGAGUAGGGCAGGACACGUGUUAUCCUGUCUGAAUAUGGGGGGACCAUCCUCCAAGGCUAAAUACUCCUAACUGACCAAUAGUAAACCAGUACCGUGAAAAAAAGGCGAAAAAACCCCGGCAAAGGGAGUGAAAUAGAACCUAAAACCGUGUACGUACAAGCAGUGGGAGCACCCGAAAAAGUGUGACUGCGUACCUUUUGUAUAAAGGGUCAGCGAGCGACUUAUAUUCUGUAGCAAAGUUAACCAGAUAAAGGAGCCGUAAGAAAACCGAGUCUUAACUGGGCGUUAAGUUGCAGGGUAUAGACCCGAAACCCGGUGAUCUAGCCAUGGGCAGGUUAAAAGUUAGGUAAAACUAACUGGAAGACCAAACCAACUAAUGUUAAAAAAUUAGCGGAUAACUUGUGGCUAAAGGUAAAAACCAAUCAAACCGGGAAAUAGCUGGUUCUCCCCAAAAGCUAUUUAGGUAGCGCCUUGUGAAUUCAUCUUCGGGGGUAAAGCACUGUUUCGGCUAGGGGAUCAUCCCGACUUACCAACCCGAUGCAAACUACGAAUACCGAAGAAUGUUAUCACGGGAGACACACGGCGGGUGCUAACGUCCCUCGUAAAGAGGGAAACAACCCAGACCGCCAGCUAAAGUCCCCAAAUCAUGGUUAAGUGGGAAACAAAGUGGGAAGGCUUAAACACCCAGAAUGUUGGCUUAGAAGCAGCCAUCAUUUAAAGAAAGCGUAAUAGCUCACUGGUCAAGUCGGCCUGCACGAAAGAUGUAACGGGGCUAAACCAUGCACCGAAGCUGCGGCAGCGACAUUUAGAUGUUGUUGGGUAGGGGAGCGUUCUGUAAGCCGUAAAAGCUAGACUAAAAAGUCUAGUGGAGGUAUCAAAAGUGCAAAUGCUAACAUAAGUAACGAUAAAACGGAUAAAAAAUCCGCUCGCCGAAAGACCAAAGUUUCCUGUCCAACGUUAAUCGGGGCAGGGUAAGUCGACCCCUAAAACGAGGCUAAAAAGCGUAGUCGAUGGGAAACAGGUUAAUAUUCCCGUACUAAGGGUUACUGCGAAGGGGGGACAAAGAAGGCUAGGCUAUCCGGGCGACGGUUAGCCCAGUUUAAGCAAGUAGGUAAGUAGUGCAGGAAAAUCCGCACUGCUACAACACUGAGACGUGAUGACAAGCCACCAAAGUGGUGAAGUAGUUGAUGCCCAGCUUCCAGGAAAAGCCUCUAAGCAAUAGGUAAUCAUUAAUCGUACCCCAAACCGACACAGGUAAUUAAGUAGAGAAUACUCAGGCGCUUGAGAGAACUCGGGUGAAAAAACUAAGCAAAAUAGUGCCGUAACUUCGGGAGAAGGCACGCUGGCAUUAGGUAAAAGAUCUCGCAUCCGGAGCUAAAGCCAGUCAAAGAUACCAGCUGGCUGCAACUGUUUAUUAAAAACACAGCACUGUGCAAACACGAAAGUGGACGUAUACGGUGUGACGCCUGCCCGGUGCUGGAAGGUUAAUUGAUUGGGUAAGCCGUAAAGCAAAGCUCUUGAUCGAAGCCCCAGUAAACGGCGGCCGUAACUAUAACGGUCCUAAGGUAGCGAAAUUCCUUGUCGGGUAAGUUCCGACCUGCACGAAUGGCGUAAUGAUGGCCAGGUUGUCUCCACCCGAGACUCACUGAAAUUGAACUCGUUGUGAAGAUGCAGUGUACCCGCGGCAAGACGGAAAGACCUCGUGAAUCUUUA
This 2075-nucleotide ribosomal RNA is filed under the name Arsenophonus endosymbiont of Bemisia tabaci Q2. RNAcentral's name for it is "23S ribosomal RNA (partial)". It matches the Rfam family "Bacterial large subunit ribosomal RNA", at positions 1 to 2103 of the family's 2925-position model. Lineage: Bacteria; Pseudomonadati; Pseudomonadota; Gammaproteobacteria; Enterobacterales; Morganellaceae. The record is from RNAcentral.